UGGGGAAUAUUGCACAAUGGGCGAAAGCCUGAUGCAGCGACGCCGCGUGAGGGAUGACGGCCUUCGGGUUGUAAACCUCUUUCAGUAGGGACGAAGCGCAAGUGACGGUACCUGCAGAAGAAGCACCGGCUAACUACGUGCCAGCAGCCGCGGUAAUACGUAGGGUGCGAGCGUUGUCCGGAAUUACUGGGCGUAAAGAGCUCGUAGGCGGUUUGUCACGUCGUCUGUGAAAUCCUAGGGCUUAACCCUGGACGUGCAGGCGAUACGGGCUGACUUGAGUACUACAGGGGAGACUGGAAUUUCUGGUGUAGCGGUGGAAUGCACAGAUAUCAGGAAGAACACCGAUGGGGAGGGCAGGUCUCUGGGUAGUAACUGACGCUGAGGAGCGAAAGCAUGGGUAGCGAACAGG
This 409-nucleotide ribosomal RNA is filed under the name bacterium. RNAcentral describes it as "partial 16S ribosomal RNA". It matches the Rfam family "Bacterial small subunit ribosomal RNA", at positions 355 to 776 of the family's 1533-position model. The record is from RNAcentral.